UGUUUUAUAAUUUUUUAUUCGAUACUGAAAUAAUUAUUUAUCUGUUACUUAUUCUAACUCUGUUUUAGUGCAAUUGAAAAUUGAAAGGACAAUAAUAUUGUUUUUGUGUUCAUUAUAAUGUGUAUGCUUACAUUGUGUUGGUUUAAUUUUAAUAGCAAGUGCAUUGUAUUUUAUUUAGUACCAAAAUAAUCAUUUAUCUGUUAUUUGUUUCUAAUUCUAUUUUGGUGCAAUUGAAAAUUCAAAUGGCAAUAAUAUUGUUUUUGUGUUUGUUAUAAUGUGUAUAUAUACUGUGUGUUAUUUUAAUAUAAUAGCUUGUGGAUUGUAUUGCUGUUGAAAUCUAUAAAUUAUUAAUAGCACUGUUUCACUGCUUGGUUAUGAGUGGUUUAUAUUUAUAUAACUUGUAUUUAAUUGGUUUAAUUAAAUAUGUGCAUAGUGUAUUGUAUCACCGGUCACUAUUGUGUAAUAUAACCUUAUUUGUUUAUACCAGAUUUAAUAUAAUAAUAUUAUAAUAACUUAAUACAAUAUAAUAAUCUGUUAUUCUAAACACGCUUGUCGUUGACACUCAGUUAAUCUGUCUUGAAUAAUUUCUAACUUAUUUUUAUAUCUAUUGGCUGUUUCUAUUUCCUUCUUAUUAGUUUGUCAUUACUUAGUACUUGUGAUUUGUUGUUAUUUCAUAUUUGUAUGGUAUAAUUUUUGGAGCUAAUCUAUAUAUUAUUAGGUAGAACUUGUUUAUUGAAUUAUUAUUGUUUAUAGGUUCUCCGGAUCUAUUUUUUUUUCACACUACGUCGCUUGCUUGAAACAUUUAUACAGUGCAUGUUUUGCAUUGUCUGGUUCUUUGUUAUACUUUCAGCACUUAUUAUGAGUACUUUUAUUUAUCCUACAUCUGUGAGUAUUAAAAUUGCCAUUUAAUUUGUUUAAUUUAAUAUGUUUAUAGUGUAUUGUGUUAGCAACUACUAUUGUAUAUUAUAAUAUUAAUUUCUGUAUAUUAAAUUUAGUAUAAUAAUAUUAUAUGGGUUAAUGUAAUAUAUUAUCUUCUUAUUCCAGUCGUUUAUGUUGUUGAUAUUCGGUUAACCUAUCUUGAUUGAUUUCUAACCUCUUUCUAUACUUAUUGGCCAUUUUUAUUUUUCUCAUUAAUUGGUUGUUACUUCAUAAUACAGUUUGAAGCUAGUCCAUAUCUUAUUAGUUAAAACUUUGUUCACUAUAUUAUUAUUGCUUAUAGGUUCUCCGACUUUAUUCUCCAAGUCUAUAUGCUGCGUUGCUCAUGCAGGACAUGUUACACAGUGCAUGUUUGGCAUCAUCUGAAUCUUCGUUACAUUGUCAACACUUAUUAUGACUACCUUUAUUUACCUUAGAUCUGUAAAUAUAAAAAAAAAAAUACCAUAUUUCUUUCCUGUUGCCUUCUUAAUCGUUCCAGUAGUAUCUGCUUCAAUACUCCUUGACCGUCGUAUACUAUGUUCUGCAAAAAUGGAUCCAUAACCAAUCCCCGCGGAAUUCCUGCAUAUACAUUUCUUUCUACGAUAAUUAAUUGUGUACAAGACUCAUUGAUUUAUAAGGGAGGACUUGCUUAUGUGAGUCUAUGGGGGCUGGCAAACCCACGUUCCCGAAGCCAGGGAGGACCGUCGGGACAAGCGUCCUGUUUACGUGAGACCUCUGUGUACACCGCAGGGAAGGUCGCCAGGAGUGUAAUGCGUUUAAAUACGGUUACGCUCUCUCUACGUGGCCUUGGGUUACUACCCACGCUACUGCGCACCCACGAUCCUGAUGCCAAGGAUGGGACCGUCGGAAUGAGUUCCCGGGUACUUUGUACUUUCAGACCCUCGCUUACGUAAGUCGCCUCUGAAACCGCCGAGCACGGUUAGCAGGUCGCCGGCCGGCAGUGACUUGGCCGUACAUCCACACGAUAGUCCCACCAAUGACUAAGGAUGGUACCAUGGGGGUCGAGUGUAAGCCCGGAGGUAAUAGCGACCCCUCAGAUCGGCCAAUUAUGGGUUUGGACUCGUGGUGGCAGUGGUUGAUAGCCAAGAUGCUGGCGAGAGGGUUGAUUUAACGGGUAUUGGCUCCACCGAAUGGCCUUCGGCGGGUGAGCAACGUCCCACCUGCUCGGGAACCGUCCCGGGAGACGGUAGGGCUUAAAAAGCGACCCGUUCGACCUGAGAUGAGCGACAGCCCCUGCCAGGCUUAACUAAUCCAGGUAGCAAGGUACUGGGUGCCUUGUGCGCUGGUUGGGCGUAACACGAGUCGAGAGCAUCUCAUGCUGUUGUUUUGCCUCAGGACAUUGACUCAGCCUUGACACAGAAAUGUAACGAUAAACGAACUCCGGGCAAAACAAUGUCGCCGCUACAUGCAACCGUUGAAUGAAGACGAAUUCAAAUAUUCCGACUUCCCCCCGACCAGUAUAAAUAAACGGACGCGAUCGCGAGCGGGAGAGUGUAUUACACAGUGUAUCAUAUCACACCGAGUAUCUAAAGUGUCUCCGAGUAUUUAUCGAGCUACGCGACGAGCAUUAACGAGUAUUUAUUCCGCGAUUUUAUUUGGCGAUUUAUAUUUUGUACUAACGACUCCGUAUACGGUUGUACAUUAAUUUAUUAUUUUAAAUAUAUUCGACGGUUUCAAUAA
Bombus pyrosoma is the source of this 2616-nucleotide long non-coding RNA. RefSeq lists it as uncharacterized. The transcript is spliced from 4 exons. NCBI's taxonomy places the organism in Eukaryota, Metazoa, Arthropoda, Insecta, Hymenoptera, Apidae. The record is from RefSeq and is a predicted model, not a curated record.